GACGAACGCUGGCGGCGUGCUUAACACAUGCAAGUCGAACGGAAAGGCCCUGCUUUUGUGGGGUGCUCGAGUGGCGAACGGGUGAGUAACACGUGAGUAACCUGCCCUUGACUUCGGGAUAACUUCAGGAAACUGGGGCUAAUACCGGAUAGGAGCUCCUGCUGCAUGGUGGGGGUUGGAAAGUUUCGGCGGUUGGGGAUGGACUCGCGGCUUAUCAGCUUGUUGGUGGGGUAGUGGCUUACCAAGGCUUUGACGGGUAGCCGGCCUGAGAGGGUGACCGGCCACAAUGGGACUGAGAUACGGCCCAGACUCCUACGGGAGGCAGCAGUGGGGAAUAUUGCACAAUGGGCGGAAGCCUGAUGCAGCAACGCCGCGUGCGGGAUGACGGCCUUCGGGUUGUAAACCGCUUUCGCCUGUGACGAAGCGUGAGUGACGGUAAUGGGUAAAGAAGCACCGGCUAACUACGUG
Molecule: ribosomal RNA, 468 nt
Filed under: uncultured bacterium
Lineage: Bacteria
Description: partial 16S ribosomal RNA
Rfam family: Bacterial small subunit ribosomal RNA
Source: RNAcentral